Molecule: ribosomal RNA, 434 nt
Filed under: uncultured bacterium
Lineage: Bacteria
Description: partial 16S ribosomal RNA
Rfam family: Bacterial small subunit ribosomal RNA
Source: RNAcentral
GCGAACGCUGGCGGCAGGCUUAACACAUGCAAGUCGAGCGGGCACUUUCGGGUGUCAGCGGCGGGCGGGUGAGUAACGCGUGGGAACGUGCCCUCUGGUUCGGAAUAACUCAGGGAAACUUGAGCUAAUACCGGAUACGCCCUUUUGGGGAAAGGCUUGCUGCCGGAGGAUCGGCCCGCGUCUGAUUAGCUAGUUGGUGAGGUAACGGCUCACCAAGGCGACGAUCAGUAGCUGGUCUGAGAGGAUGAUCAGCCACACUGGGACUGAGACACGGCCCAGACUCCUACGGGAGGCAGCAGUGGGGAAUAUUGGACAAUGGGCGCAAGCCUGAUCCAGCCAUGCCGCGUGAGUGAUGAAGGCCUUAGGGUUGUAAAGCUCUUUUAUCCGGGACGAUAAUGACGGUACCGGAGGAAUAAGCCCCGGCUAACUUCGUG